Non-coding RNA from Gasterosteus aculeatus aculeatus (three-spined stickleback), 275 nucleotides. The record is from RefSeq and is a predicted model, not a curated record. NCBI's taxonomy places the organism in Eukaryota, Metazoa, Chordata, Actinopteri, Perciformes, Gasterosteidae.
CGACCAACAACAACAACAACAACAUCAACGUCAGGAGAAAGACGGCGAGCGGAGAGCGAGGUGAAGCUACGUCCCUCGACUAUGUGUGCGUGAUGCUAACAGGAGCGCGGCGAAUGCGAAUGGCGCUAUUGGCUGAUUCGAUAACGGAGAGAAGACGCCGUCGCCGAAGCUUGUGGAGCAUCAGCUGUAAGAUGCCUGGGUGAGCUCAUGACGCUAACGUGCUCAGCCAGACACGCCUGUUAGCAGAAGAACCGAGAGAAAUCGCUCACUUCCUG